This 120-nucleotide ribosomal RNA is filed under the name Olea europaea subsp. europaea. The record is from RNAcentral. Lineage: Eukaryota; Viridiplantae; Streptophyta; Magnoliopsida; Lamiales; Oleaceae.
ACAAACUCUGUGCCACGAUGAAUACACCAGUUCUCGUCCGAUCACUGAAGUUAAGCGACGUUGGACAUAGUCAGCAGUACUUGGAUGGGUGACCGUCUGGGAGAUCACGUGUUGUUGGUU